UGCUCUGUCUGGGAAAACAUUUCUGAAAGGUCCUUUUCAGCUCAGGAGCUCUCGAACAUUGGAGGAGGUGGUGCUGGCUGCCUUCUUCCUUGUACUCCUUGAAAGGAGCUGGGGCCAGCAAGGUGGCUGGCUCAGUGGGUAACUGCCUGCCGCCAAGCCUGAAGACCACAGUGCAGUCGCUGGGACCCACAUGGUGGAAGGAGAGGCCAGUGUCUUGUCUGGUAGCUUGGUGACAGUUCUCUCCGGGUCCCUGGGAGUAACCCAAAAGUGAAGAUGAAGCUUACCAGAACCAUAUGGUUUUGCCAGGACGCUGCUAUCUGAGGGGUGUUUGUUGCUGCAGUGCUUCGUCAUCCAUCCUGACUAAAACAGGUGGGUUCACAAUGUCUGUCAGCGUUCACGAGACCCGCAAGUCGCGGAGCAGCACGGGCUCCAUGAACAUCUCGCUCUUCCACAAGGCCUCGCACCCCGACUGCGUGCUAGCCCACCUCAACACCCUCCGCAAGCACCGUAUGUUCACCGAUGUCACGCUCUGGGCCGGUGACCGAGCCUUCCCAUGCCACCGUGCAGUGCUGGCGGCCUCCAGCCGAUACUUUGAGGCCAUGUUCAGUCAUGGCCUGCGGGAAAGCCGGGACGAUUCGGUCAACUUCCAGGACAACCUGCACCCUGAGGUGCUGGAGCUGCUGCUGGACUUUGCCUACUCCUCCCGCAUUGUCAUCAACGAGGAGAACGCAGAGUCGCUGCUGGAGGCGGGCGACAUGCUGCAGUUCCAUGACGUCAGGGACGCAGCCGCCGAGUUCCUGGAGAAGAACCUCUCCCCCUCCAACUGCCUGGGCAUGAUGCUGCUGUCGGAUGCCCACCAGUGCCGACGGCUCUACGAGUUCUCCUGCCGAAUGUGCCUGGUGCACUUUGAGACGGUGCGGCAGAGCGAGGACUUCAACAGUCUGUCUAAGGACACGCUCUUGGACCUCAUCUCCAGUGACGAGCUGGAGACUGAGGAUGAGCGCGUGGUCUUUGAGGCCAUCCUGCAGUGGGUGAAACAUGACCUGGAUCAGAGGAAGGCCCAUCUGCCGCUGCUCCUGCGCAAUGUGCGGCUGGCCCUGCUGCCCUCUGACUGCCUGAAGAAGGUCGUUUCCGGGGAGGCCCUCUUCAUGGAGGACGAGCGCAGCAAGCUCCUCAUAGACGAAGCCUUCCGAUGCAAGACCAAGAUCUUGCUGAAUGAUGGUGUGGUCACCAGCCCCUUUGCCCGGCCUCGCAAGGCGGGCCACACGCUGCUCAUCCUGGGAGGCCAGACCUUCAUGUGUGACAAGAUCUACCAAGUGGACCACAAAGCCAAGGAGAUUAUCCCCAAGGCGGAUCUGCCAAGCCCCCGGAAGGAGUUCAGCGCUUCGGCCAUUGGCUGCAAGGUCUAUGUGACCGGAGGCAGGGGCUCUGAGAAUGGGGUCUCUAAGGAUGUCUGGGUGUAUGACACUGUCCACGAGGAAUGGUCUAAGGCAGCCCCUAUGCUGAUUGCUCGCUUUGGCCAUGGCUCAGCUGAGCUGGAGAACUGUCUGUACGUGGUGGGGGGCCAUACCUCCCUAGCAGGUAUUUUCCCCGCCUCCCCUUCCAUCUCCCUGAAACAAGUCGAGAAAUACGACCCGGGGGCUAAUAAGUGGACUAUGAUGGCCCCAAUGAGAGAUGGUGUCAGCAAUGCUGCGGUGGUGAGCGCCAAGCUGAAACUCUUUGUGUUCGGGGGCACCAGCAUCCACCGGGACAUGGUGUCCAAAGUCCAGUGUUUUGACCCCUCGGAGAACCGGUGGACGAUAAAGGCGGAGUGUCCCCAGCCUUGGCGAUACACAGCUGCCGCCGUCCUGGGCAGCCAGAUCUUUAUCAUGGGAGGUGAUACAGAGUAUACAGCAGCUUCAGCCUAUCGCUUUGACUGUGAGACCAACCAGUGGACUCGGAUUGGGGACAUGACUGCCAAACGCAUGUCCUGUCAUGCCCUGGCUUCCGGCAACAAGCUGUAUGUGGUGGGAGGCUACUUUGGGACCCAGAGGUGUAAGACCUUGGACUGCUAUGACCCCACCUCAGACACGUGGAACUGCAUCACCACUGUGCCCUACUCCCUCAUCCCCACUGCUUUUGUCAGCACCUGGAAGCAUCUGCCUGCAUGAAGGGCACCUGCAUGGCCCAGCCAGGAACAUUCUCCAUGAAGCCUUCAGCAAGGAGGGCUUGCUCCUGGAUCCUUGCCAGGCUUCGUGGUUCUUCCUGACUUGGCUAGAAACUGACAGCACCAGCUCCGGGUGGCAGCAGCUCAAGCUGUUCUUAACACUAGGCAGAAAAGUGAAGUUCUCCAGCGUCACCUGUGCUCCGCUUCCUGAGCUGCCAGCGGCUUAUGUGGAGAGAAGCUUCCAGAGGCGUGGGCCGUCACCAGCAACCCUGGCUAGGGAGAUGACAUUCACACAAAGCCUUGAGGUCACCUCUGCCAGCCAGGCCUGGCAAGGGCUGGCAGGGGAACAGCAGGGGUCCCUUGACACCAACAGCACAGCCUUUGACUGCAGGGCUUCCUGCGGAAGGUGGGAAUGUUGCUCCAUACUGUCCUGGACAUCAGGGAGCCGAGUUCAACUGAAGACGUUUUAUAAGAGACAGAAACCCCGGGGCAACCCAGCCUCAGGGGGUAUCCACAGGCUCCACCAGCAGAUAGCACCAGACACCUAAGGCCAAGGGGAGACUGCCUGCGUGCCCUCUGCCAAGCACUACCCCAUCCCCCUAAGGGGUGAUUUUGGGAAGCUACCAUGAACAUAGGACAGAUGCUCUUGACCAGUCAGACACUGCUGGGGGUCCCUCAGCAGGACUCUAGGCCCCAGGGAGCUGGUUGGGGUCUCAGGAGACCCCCUCGCCCCAGUUCUGUGUCCUGUCUCCUAAGAAGAGAACGGUCAUGACCCCAUGGCCACUACAGUUCCCACAGAGAUUAGAUUUCUGUCAUGUGUGGUCUAGUGCCAAGGCUCUUGUCACACUUCCUAUCCUCCUUGGCACCAGCCGGCAGCCUGAAUCCUGCCUGUCUGAUUCUUGAGCUCAGAAAGAAGGAUCCGAAGAAACUGCCCAAAUGUGUUUCUCAAGGAUUCCACACCAGUUCCCUGCACUGGGUGCAGAGGCGCCUUCUGAUGCCAUUCUGGACGCUAGACUCACCCCUUGCUUGUCUAGCCUGAUUUUGGGGGGACAGGCGCUCUCGGUUUCUGGCACAGGGUGGGCAGGGUACCAUAGCUGGUGGCUUCCCAGGCCAUUGUUGCAUCUGGAUGGAGCGUCCAAAGUGGGUUCUGUUGUUGACAAAAGUGGAGCCACAGUCUAGACCAGUUUGGUCAGCCGUCAAGGUCCUCGAGGCUCAGCCCGGUACUGGUGCUGUGAGUGACUUAGUCACACACUGGCCCUUAUCUGAGGUCCAGCUUGUUUUUCAUUCCACCUCCUGGUCAGUCCUUCUGGAGAACUGCAGGCUUUUGGCCUGUGGACCACGUUAUCAGGACUCAUCACUCCGCACAGCACAGAGGACCUGGCCAUGGUGCUUGCCUGAGCAUGGGCGUUGCUUUUAUUAGUUUUCUAACUUAAUAAAAGUGAAGAAGUUCUUGACCUUA
Molecule: RNA transcript, 3605 nt
Organism: Meriones unguiculatus (Mongolian gerbil)
Lineage: Eukaryota; Metazoa; Chordata; Mammalia; Rodentia; Muridae
Gene: Klhl25
Gene name: kelch like family member 25
Exons: 6
Source: RefSeq, a predicted model, not a curated record